CCUACGGGUGGCAGCAGUGGGGAAUAUUGGACAAUGGGCGCAAGCCUGACCCAGCAACGCCGCGUGAAGGAAGAAGGCUUUCGGGUUGUAAACUUCUUUUAAGAGGGAAGAGCAGAAGCCGGUACCGCUUGAAUAACCCACGGCUAACGACGUGCCAGCAGCGGCGGUAAUACGUAGGUGGCAAGCGUUUUCCGGAUUUAUUGGGUGUAAAGGGCGUGCAGCCGGGAGGUCAAGUCAGUUGUGAAAUCCCGCGGCUCAACCGCGGAACUGCAUUUGAAACUGUUUUGCUUGAGUACCGGAGAGGUCAGCGGAAUUCCUUGUGUAGCGGUGAAAUGCGUAGAUAUAAGGAAGAACACCAGUGGCGAAGGCGGAUGACUGGACGGCAACUGACGGUGAGGCGCGAAAGCGUGGGGAGCAAACAGGAUUAGAUACCCGUGUAGUC
Molecule: ribosomal RNA, 442 nt
Filed under: uncultured bacterium
Lineage: Bacteria
Description: partial 16S ribosomal RNA
Rfam family: Bacterial small subunit ribosomal RNA
Source: RNAcentral